GGGCAGGUGAUCCGAUUGGUAAUGGUGGUUCUCUGUAAAAGAAUUGGUUUUAAACCGUAAAAGGUUCGAUUCCUUUACUGCUCA
This 84-nucleotide transfer RNA is filed under the name Phellinotus piptadeniae. Its description in RNAcentral is "tRNA-Tyr". It matches the Rfam family "tRNA". From Rfam's summary of the family: Transfer RNA (tRNA) molecules are approximately 80 nucleotides in length. Their secondary structure includes four short double-helical elements and three loops (D, anti-codon, and T loops). Further hydrogen bonds mediate the characteristic L-shaped molecular structure. tRNAs have two regions of fundamental functional importance: the anti-codon, which is responsible for specific mRNA codon recognition, and the 3' end, to which the tRNAs corresponding amino acid is attached (by aminoacyl-tRNA synthetases). tRNAs cope with the degeneracy of the genetic code in two manners: having more than one tRNA (with a specific anti-codon) for a particular amino acid; and 'wobble' base-pairing, i.e. permitting non-standard base-pairing at the 3rd anti-codon position. Lineage: Eukaryota; Fungi; Basidiomycota; Agaricomycetes; Hymenochaetales; Hymenochaetaceae. The record is from RNAcentral.